CAAGGACCAAGUGAAAAGGGGAGUAGAUUGUUUGUCACGAAUUGGAAAAGGAAGAUUGUUUCUAUCCUGCUUCUCACACGGAGAACGGGCGCGGGCGGGCGGAGGAGUCCGGAGCACGCCGUAACUUUUGCGGUUCGGCCGCAUCUGAGCCUCCGCCGAGACCCACGAGCUGUCCCUGGCCUCGCCUCGCCUGGCCAACGAAAUUACCGCCGCCGCCGUCUCGUCUGAACUCUGAACCGGCAAGACGCCAAACCCGGCGCCCCCUCCCCCUCGGCCACCCACCCCCACCCCCACCCCCACCCCACCCAGCUGGCCCCUCUCCCAAACCCCAGAAUCCCCCGCCCGCCCGCGCCAACCCAACCCAAUCCCGCGCCCGGCCUCCCGCACAUGCGCGGCAGCAGGCCGGCGACGGCGACGACGACGACGACGCGGCGCCACCGGGGGCGCCGCGCGGGCCGUCCAUGAGCAGGAAGGGCGACCGCGCCGACAAGAAGCCGCGCCCGAGAUCACCGCGCGGCGGCGGGGGCGACAGGGAGGGCGGCGGCCGGCAGCAGCGGAGGGCGGACGGGGGGAUGCGCAUCGUGGUGCCGCUGCAGGGGGUGGUGCAGGGCCGCGGCGGGCUCGUCCUCGGCUCCCUCAUCCCCUGCGCCCUCUUCUACUUCCUCCAGCUCUACAUCAAGCGCAACCGCCCGCCGCCGGGCUCCCCCACCGCGGCCUCCUCCGCGGCGCCGGCGGGCGCCGCGGCCGCGGGCCCGCUCUCGCCGAUCCACCGCUCCCUCUCGCGGGGCCUGCUCUCCCCGCGCGCGCUCCCGGCCCUCUCCGCCCGCGGCGCCCUCGUCCGCGCCGGCGACGACGACUCCCUCUACUACGCCGGCCUCCGCCGCUGCGCCGACGACCCCUACCACCCCGCCUCCAACCCCGCCGGCGUCAUCCAGCUCGGCCUCGCCGAGAACCACCUGUCCCUGGAUUUGGUGAGGGAAUGGAUGGAGGAGCACGCGGGGCCGGCGAUGACGCCCGGCGGAGGCGACGAGGAGAGGGACCUCACCAUCAGCGGCCUCGCCACGUACCAGCCAUAUGACGGGAUACUUGCCUUGAAGAUGGCUCUUGCUGGAUUUAUGAGGCAAAUAAUGCAAGAGUCAGUAUCCUUUGAUCCAUCUCAAAUGGUGAUAACAUCUGGUGCGACGCCUGCAAUGGAAAUACUGAGCUUCUGUCUUGCUGAUCCAGGAAAUGCAUUUCUUGUUCCGUCACCAUACUACCCUGGAUGGGACCGGGACAUAAAAUGGCGAACUGGUAUUGAGUUGAUACCCGUUCCUUGCCGUAGCACCGACAACUUUAACAUCAGUAUCACUGCUCUAGAAAUAGCCUAUAACCAGGCAAAGAAGCGAGGAGUAAGGGUUCGUGGGGUUCUCAUAUCUAAUCCUUCCAACCCUACAGGAAGCUUUGUACCCAAGCAAACACUGCGUGAUCUUCUGGACUUUGCUACAGAGAAGAACAUACACUUAAUUUCUGAUGAAGUGUUUGCCGGUUCAACAUUUGGAAGUGGUGAAUUUGUCAGUGUGGCUGAGGUUGUGAACGAGCUAGAAGACUUUGACAGAGGCAGGGUUCACAUAAUCUAUGGACUCUCAAAAGACCUAUCUCUUGCAGGGUUUCGAGUUGGAGUCAUAUAUUCGUAUAACGAAAGCAUUGUGGAGGCAGCUGCCAAGAUUGCCAGAUUCUCAUCUGUGUCGACCCCGACCCAGCGCCUUCUUGUUGCCAUGCUUUCGGACCAGAAGUUUAUUUCAAAUUACCUGAAAGUUAACAGAGAGAGGCUGCGCAAGGCGUACAAUCUGCUCGUUGAUGCUUUGAAACAGGUGGGCAUCGAGUGCUUCAAGAGCAGCGGAGGGUUCUACUGCUGGGCAGACAUGAGCAAGUUCAUCCGGUCUUACAGCGAGAAAGGGGAACGCAGUCUUUGGGACAGGCUGUUGGAGGAGGCGAAGGUCAAUGUCACCCCAGGUUCAUCUUGCCAUUGCAUUGAGCCUGGUUGGUUUAGGUGCUGUUUCACAACGUUGAGGGAGCAGGAUAUUCCUGUGGUGGUGGAAAGGCUUAGGAGGAUCACAGAUGGCCACAAAUCAAACUGCUGAAACGCCUAGAGAACUCCUUUUGGGCCUGUAGGGUGUCAAGAAAUAACUGCUUCGCCAGUUGCUUCACAGAAAACGCAGGAGCACACAGGAAAAAAAUGCCUUAACCAGAUCUGUUCCAAUCAGAGUGAUUCCGUCUUGGCAUCUACCAUUGGUGGAGGUUUGAAACUGACAAUUGGUGGAAACAGUCAUGUCUUCGGUGGUGGAACAAAGAGCAGGGAUCAUGUUCGCAUCCGUCGUGUCCUCCCUGUUCCUGUUGAAUCCAAGCGCGGCAGCUCUUCGGAAGGUUGUAAUUGUGUCGAUUCUCAUCUGCUUCCCCAUAGGUGUCACAGGCGGUAAAUUGUCCGUCUCAUGGUAGGCGUGGGUCAAGUCUUGUGUUCAUUCGCCUAUUCAAUCCUGUCAUCCUUUUUUUUUUCUUUUGGCAAUUUUGUUCUUUGGUAACAUAAGUUAGUGUCGAGGAAUUCAGUUUCUUCUGUUCUUGUCAUCUGUAAAGUAUCCAGUUUGUGAAUUCAGGUUCUUUCUCCUCUAGCAAUUUUGCUCUUUGGUAACAUAAGUUAGUGUUGAGGAAUUCAGGUUCUUGUCAUCUGUAAAGUAUCCAGUUUGUGACGGCGUUCUUGACGCACGGC
RNAcentral lists this ribosomal RNA (2743 nucleotides) under Triticum aestivum (bread wheat). Its description in RNAcentral is "partial small subunit ribosomal RNA". Lineage: Eukaryota; Viridiplantae; Streptophyta; Magnoliopsida; Poales; Poaceae. The record is from RNAcentral.